GGGUGCGUAACACGUGAGCGACCUACCCUGGGAUGGGGAAUAGCCGGCCCAACGGCCGGGCAAUACCGCAUACGCUGGUUGAGGGGCAUACCUCGGCCAGGAAACCUUUAGGGUCCAAGGAGGGGCUCGCGGCCUAUCAGCUAGUUGGCGGGGUAACGGCCCACCAAGGCGACGACGGGUAGCUGGUCUGAGAGGAUGGCCAGCCACAUUGGGACUGAGAAACGGCCCAGACUCCUACGGGAGGCAGCAGUGGGGAAUCUUGCGCAAUGGGCGAAAGCCUGACGCAGCGACGCCGCGUGGGGGAUGAAGGUCUUCGGAUCGUAAACCCCUGUUGCCCGGGACGAAUGCCCUAUUUGUAGGGAGCGACGGUACCGGGUGAGGAAGCACCGGCUAACUCUGUGCCAGCAGCCGCGGUAAUACAGAGGGUGCGAGCGUUGUCCGGAAUCACUGGGCGUAAAGGGCGCGUAGGUGGCUUGCGAAGCGUGCGGUGAAAGCCCGGAGCUCAACUCCGGGUCGGCCGUGCGUACUGGCAGGCUUGAGCACGGUAGAGGCUAAUGGAAUUCC
This 564-nucleotide ribosomal RNA is filed under the name uncultured Gemmatimonadota bacterium. Its description in RNAcentral is "bacterial SSU rRNA". It matches the Rfam family "Bacterial small subunit ribosomal RNA", at positions 104 to 670 of the family's 1533-position model. The record is from RNAcentral. Lineage: Bacteria; Pseudomonadati; Gemmatimonadota.